Molecule: non-coding RNA, 1030 nt
Organism: Chiloscyllium plagiosum (whitespotted bambooshark)
Lineage: Eukaryota; Metazoa; Chordata; Chondrichthyes; Orectolobiformes; Hemiscylliidae
Source: RefSeq, a predicted model, not a curated record
UACAGUGUCUCAUGAACUUCAUUUCUCUUGUCACAUCAAGAUGGGGUCAUGCCAUUUGAGGAUGUUUCCCUUGCUUCCUCAGUGGAAAAAAAAGAAAACAAACAGUGAUACUUGUAAAUGAACAUAGAAGCCAUUCUAAUGCUCCAUUUUGUAGUAUACUCGAUGAUCCAGAAUUCUUCAGGAGACCACAAUGAUGAUGAUUAAUCAUCUCUACUAGGUGAUCUCCACCACAGACUGAAACAGGAGGAAAAAGUGCAGUGGAGUGAAAGGUCUGUCUUUGAUGAUAUAUCUAUGCUUUGUACCAAUCCAUGGAAAUGCAAGAAUGCUUUGGCUGAGUCUGCACUAAACAUAUAGUUGGAAUGCUGCAACAGGAUCUAUACCAUUCCAUAAACAAGGAAGCCUGACACUAAGCUCCGAAAGGCCCACCACAUUGAGUGCCACUCAGGCACUUAACGGGUCAGUGACAUCCCCCAGGAUCGAAGACCUUGGAGGCAGAACUUGCCCUUGCUGCCAGCCAAUCAGAAGCUACACACUCUAUUGAAUGUCAGUCCACUGAGCAGGCAAUGGCUGCUGCCAGUACCACACCCACCCAAGACCCGGUAUCAUCACUGAAUCUCAGGAUGCACGUCAGACAAGAUUUACAAAAACUCUCAGGUUAAGAGUUUUGUCAUCAUUGGCUCAGCACAUUCAGGGAUUAGAGGUAUGCUGGAAAUUAAAUGGAAUCCACAUCAAACACAAGCUUGAGUCAUGGUCUGGGCUGUUGUAAAAUGUCUUUCUAACAUCGCAAAGAGCAUGCAUCAAGGAUGCACAGGUAAAAGGAGCAAAAGAAAAGACAAAAAUGAAACUGGAGCUGGAAGUACAUUUUUAAAAUGGCAUCACAAAUAGGACCUAUGGCAAUUUAUGAUGGCAGUUUGGCAAAAAUAUUUGGAAGAUUAGACAGAGCAGUAGAAGGUUGAUCUUAGUGAUGUUUAUUAUCAUCAGAUUUCAUAACCAUGGAAAUAGAGAGGCUGCCAGGAAACAGCCAUCAGCU